Molecule: ribosomal RNA, 395 nt
Filed under: uncultured bacterium
Lineage: Bacteria
Description: bacterial SSU rRNA
Rfam family: Bacterial small subunit ribosomal RNA
Source: RNAcentral
GUGUCAGCCGCCGCGGUAAUACGUAGGUGGCAAGCGUUGUCCGGAUUUACUGGGCGUAAAGCGCGCGCAGGUGGUUCGUUAAGUCCGGUGUGAAAGCUCCCGGCUCAACUGGGAGAGGCCAUUGGAGACUGGCGAACUGGAGGCAGGCAGAGGCUGGUGGAAUUCCCGGUGUAGUGGUGAAAUGCGUAGAGAUCGGGAGGAACACCCGUGGCGAAGGCGGCCAGCUGGGCCUGUUCUGACGCUGAGGCGCGAAAGCGUGGGGAGCGAACCGGAUUAGAUACCCGGGUAGUCCACGCCGUAAACGAUGGCCACUAGGUGUGGGGGGUAUCGACCCCCUCCGUGCCGACGCUAACGCAGUAAGUGGCCCGCCUGGGGAGUACGGCCGCAAGGCUAAA